GGCAGAUGGACAAUGAUCCAGUUAUGAACAAAGCGUGUUGAGAUGCAUUAUGUCCCUGCAUAUCAGAUCAGGUGAAAGGGGAGGCCACACACACCGCCACCCCACCUCACCCCAGCUGCUUCAAUUCCAGGUGCCAUGUUUACCUGAUCAGGAGGUCAUUUGUGCAAACCAGCAGAUCUGCCUUUGCAAUCUCUCCUAUAUGCUAAUGUUUUCAGCUCAAGAGUUGUCAACCCAAGUUCGUAUUUCAACAGACUCAACAGAGAAAUCCAAACACCUCUCUGUGAAGUGUUUUUGGAGUUGAUCCCCUGCUGAAAGUCUCCUCUAAGGUAAUGGUUACAAAUGACAGCAAGCGUAUUGUAAAGAAAAUUUCUGAAAAAUGUUUCAUCAAAAGAACUUGUGAAUUCUAUAGUCUGCGUUAUUUCUCUCAACACCAGCAGUAACCUCUGUCAGUCUUGCUAGUAAAUAUCUGUGCAAGUCUCUGUUCUGGUUAUUUUGCGUUCAGUUUUUUAGUAAUACUUCCACUUCCUGUGCUGUUGUCUAACUUUGGCAGUUGCAUAUUGUGUUUGUUUUAUCUUUUCGUUUUUUGCAGUUGUCUGGUAUCAAUAUGUUGAGUUUUUC
Molecule: long non-coding RNA, 618 nt
Filed under: Anser brachyrhynchus (Pink-footed goose)
Lineage: Eukaryota; Metazoa; Chordata; Aves; Anseriformes; Anatidae
Description: lncRNA (ENSABRG00000019735.1)
Source: RNAcentral